CCCCCCCAGGUCUUUAUUUGAUUUGUCCCUCCCGUCCCCUGGUCUCUUCCCCCCCAGGUCUUUAUUUGAUUUGUCCCUCCCGUCCCCGGUCUCUCCCCCCCAGGUCUUUAUUUGAUUUGUCCCUCCCGUCCCCUGGUCUCUCCCACCCCCCAGGUCUUUAUGGAAGAGUUUCUACGACCUGGGAUGUAUCCCAAAUAGCAACUAGUUCCCGAUGUAGUGGACUAUAUACAGAAUAGUGAACCGUUAUGGACACACACACACAAUAUAUACCAUCUGAUUAGAUAUGUAUUCUAGAGUGAAAAUACCAUCUAUUCAUAUCAGAUAUACAUUCUCUAGAGUGAAAAUGUGUAGGAGGAGGACGAAAAGCACUAUCGAGAUGUGAAUGAAUGUUACUCUGCUGUCAACAGACUGAGCUAGACUGACCUAGAGGUAGUUGUGGGUCUAUAUUACUCUGCUGUCAACAGACUGACCUAGAGGUAGUUGUGGGUCUAUAUUACUCUGCUGUCAACAGACUGACCUAGAGGUAGUUGUGGGUCUAUAUUACUCUGCUGUCAACAGACUGACCUAGAGGUAGUUGUGGGUCUAUAUUACUCUGCUGUCAACAGACUGAGCUAGACUGACCUAGAGGUAGUUGUGGGUCUAUAUUUUGCAAAAGUACUUCCCAAAAUUCACCAGAUUUCCAGAAAUCCCAGGUUGUAGGAUUCCCAGAUUUCCCUUCUUGAUUUUAGGAAUCUGGGAUAAAAAAAUAAAAAAUAAAAUAUAUAUAUAUAUAUAUAUAUAUAAAUAAAAAUAAGUUUCCAGAGUUGUUCAACCCUAGAGGUAGUAGGGGGCCCCCCAUGUCUUAUGGCACCUGCAUUAAUUAUAUUUCCACAAUUAUGACAAUCUGUGAAUAUUGUUGUUAGUUGAGCUGGACUGGGGGUAGAGAUGCACUGGAUGGUGUUACGUAUUGGAUUUAAAAGGUUUGAUGCAUUGCACUGUGAAGAUUCAUCCAUCUGUUACUUGGUUUACUGCAAUGACCUCUGUUUAAUUUAAACUACCAGCUGAAUGAAUACCGGAGGGACAUUUUUAAUUUUUUCCCCUCUGUUGUUUUGAAGACAAUACUAAAAAAAAUAAAAAUUCUGCAAAAAAAAAA
Long non-coding RNA from Oncorhynchus tshawytscha (Chinook salmon), 1132 nucleotides. Lineage: Eukaryota; Metazoa; Chordata; Actinopteri; Salmoniformes; Salmonidae. The record is from Ensembl.